AGGACGAACGCUGGCGGCGCGCUUAACACAUGCAAGUCGAACGUGAAGCUGGAGCUUGCUCCGGUGGAAAGUGGCGAACGGGUGCGUAACACGUGAGCAACCUGCCCCGAAGACUGGGAUAACACCGGGAAACCGGUGCUAAUACCGGAUACCUUCUUCCGAUCGCAUGGUUGGAUGAAGAAAUGGAUUCCGCUUCGGGAUGGGCUCGCGGCCUAUCAGCUUGUUGGUGAGGUAACGGCCCACCAAGGCGACGACGGGUAGCUGGUCUGAGAGGACGACCAGCCACACUGGGACUGAGACACGGCCCAGACUCCUACGGGAGGCAGCAGUGGGGAAUCUUGCUCAAUGGGCGAAAGCCUGAAGCAGCGACGCCGCGUGCGGGAUGAAGGCCCUCGGGUUGUAAACCGCUUUCAGCAGGGACGAAAUUGACGGUACCUGCAGAAGAAGGCCCGGCCAACUACGCUCCAGCAGCCGCGGUAA
This 480-nucleotide ribosomal RNA is filed under the name uncultured bacterium. Its description in RNAcentral is "SSU rRNA". It matches the Rfam family "Bacterial small subunit ribosomal RNA", at positions 26 to 523 of the family's 1533-position model. The record is from RNAcentral.